UACGUAGGGGGCAAGCGUUGUCCGGAUUUAUUGGGCGUAAAGAGCGUGUAGGCGGCUUGGUAGGUCUCGCGUCAAAACCUGAGGCUCAACCUCAGUUCGCGUGGGAAACCACCUAGCUAGAGUCCGGAAGAGGAGAACGGAAUUCCCAGUGUAGCGGUGAAAUGCGCAGAUAUCAGGAGGAACACCAAUGGCGAAGGCAGCUCGCUGGGACGUGACUGACGCUGAGACGCGAAAGCGUGGGGAGCAAACAGG
RNAcentral lists this ribosomal RNA (252 nucleotides) under uncultured bacterium. RNAcentral describes it as "partial 16S ribosomal RNA". It matches the Rfam family "Bacterial small subunit ribosomal RNA", at positions 524 to 776 of the family's 1533-position model. The record is from RNAcentral.